AGGUCCACUAGCGAAGGUUCGCAAGCGACGUUAACCUUUCAUCACCAAAGCUUUUCCUAUAUCUCCACCUCAGCAGCUCAAGGUCGACACAUUUUUCAGGAUUAUUGUCCAAAGAGGCUUCUUCCGAGUAAUUUGAAGAGGAGAAUUGUACUCAUUCAGGUGUAGAUAUGACUUCAUACCUAACAGGAACAGAAAUCCUUAAAGAAGAGGAAGACUUGGGGACGUUUCAUCCAAAGCAGAUGCAAUGUGAUAGACCUGAUGCGGGCAAUGAGCUAUGCACAUUGGCAGAAGAAACUUCGGGGAAAAAUGAAGACUGUACUGAUCCUAAGGGUACUAAAGAGAUCUUCUAUGAGGACCUAGAAAAGUCUCUUCCUAAAAAAUUGAAAAUUGGUCCACUAAAGGAAGAGGGAUAUGAAUUGACGGACGAAGCUCUUGAGGAUAACAUGGACUGUACUCAACUCGACAAUUCACCUGAACCAUGCAGCGAGAGCACCAUGACAAAGCUUGCGACCAAACUGCUUUUAUUGGCAAGUUUUGGAUUCGUGGUAUUUAUCCUGUACUUCAAAAGUUACCAUCGUGGUUAGAGACUUUAAAGUUCUAGGCUUUGUUAUGCUGUAUUCUAACCCAUGUCAAGUUUUGUAGUAAUUUUUUAACAGCGACAUGCUUACGGAUAAAAUGUUACUCCCUUCUCUUAGGAGUGUGGGGACGUUGAAAGGGAUUGUGAUCAACUUAAUGAGGGCUUUCAAAGCGAAUCAUGGCAUGUCCGUGUUCAGAGUACCUUUCGCUGGUUGU
RNAcentral lists this unclassified non-coding RNA (792 nucleotides) under Stylophora pistillata. Its description in RNAcentral is "uncharacterized LOC111343106, transcript variant X2". The record is from RNAcentral. Lineage: Eukaryota; Metazoa; Cnidaria; Anthozoa; Scleractinia; Pocilloporidae.